GGUUCAUUCAAAUUUCUGCCCUAUCAACUUUCGAUGGUAGGAUAGUGGCCUACCAUGGUUUCAACGGGUAACGGGGAAUUAGGGUUCUAUUCCGGAGAAGGAGCCUGAGAAACGGCUACUACAUCCAAGGAAGGCAGCAGGCGCGCAAAUUACCCAAUCCCGACCGGGGAGGUUGUGACAAUAAAUACUGAUACAGGGCUCUUUUGAGUCUUGUAAUUGGAAUGAGUACAAUUUAAAUCCCUUAACGAGGAACAAUUGGAGGGCAAGUCUGGUGCCAGCAGCCCGGGUAAUUCCAGCUCCAAUAGCGUAUUUUAAAGUUGUUGCAGUUAAAAAGCUCGUAGUUG
RNAcentral lists this ribosomal RNA (344 nucleotides) under uncultured fungus. Its description in RNAcentral is "SSU rRNA". It matches the Rfam family "Eukaryotic small subunit ribosomal RNA", at positions 292 to 636 of the family's 1831-position model. The record is from RNAcentral. Lineage: Eukaryota; Fungi.